RNAcentral lists this ribosomal RNA (645 nucleotides) under uncultured bacterium. RNAcentral describes it as "bacterial SSU rRNA". It matches the Rfam family "Bacterial small subunit ribosomal RNA", at positions 1 to 641 of the family's 1533-position model. The record is from RNAcentral.
AGGAGAGUUUGAUCAUGGCUCAGAUUGAACGCUGGCGGCAGGCCUAACACAUGCAAGUCGAACGGUAACAUGACUAGCUUGCUAGUUGAUGACGAGUGGCGGACGGGUGAGUAACGCGUAGGAAUCUACCCAGUAGCGGGGGAUAAGCCAGAGAAAUUUGGUCUAAUACCGCAUACGCCCUACGGGGGAAAGCAGGGGAUCUUCGGACCUUGCACUAUUGGAUGAGCCUGCGUGAGAUUAGCUUGUUGGUGAGGUAAUGGCUCACCAAGGCAACGAUCUCUAGCUGGUCUGAGAGGAUGAUCAGCCACACUGGAACUGAGACACGGUCCAGACUCCUACGGGAGGCAGCAGUGGGGAAUAUUGCACAAUGGGCGCAAGCCUGAUGCAGCCAUGCCGCGUGUGUGAAGAAGGCCCUAGGGUUGUAAAGCACUUUCAGCAGUGAGGAAAGGUUGUACGUUAAUACCGUGCAACUGUGACGUUAACUGCAGAAGAAGCACCGGCUAACUCCGUGCCAGCAGCCGCGGUAAUACGGAGGGUGCGAGCGUUAAUCGGAAUUACUGGGCGUAAAGCGCGCGUAGGUGGAUUGGUCAGUCAGAUGUGAAAGCCCAGGGCUCAACCUUGGAACUGCACCUGAUACUGCCAAUC